UGGUCUUGACAUAUAAAGAACUUUCCAGAGAUGGAUUGGUGCCUGCUUGCAGGAGCUUUCAUACAGGUGCUGCACGGCUGUCGUCAGCUCGUGUCGUGAGAUGUUGGGUUAAGUCCCGCAACGAGCGCAACCCUCGUCGUUAGUUGCUAACAGUUCGGCUGAGAACUCUAACGAGACUGCCUACGCAAGUAGGAGGAAGGUGAGGACGACGUCAAGUCAUCAUGGCCCUUACGACCAGGGCUACACACGUGCUACAAUGGGGUAUACAAAGAGCAGCAAUACGGUGACGUGGAGCGAAUCUCAAAAAUGCCUCCCAGUUCGGAUUGUAGUCUGCAACUCGACUACAUGAAGUUGGAAUCGCUAGUAAUCGUAGAUCAGCUAUGCUACGGUGAAUACGUUCCCGGGUCU
RNAcentral lists this ribosomal RNA (408 nucleotides) under uncultured bacterium. RNAcentral describes it as "bacterial SSU rRNA". It matches the Rfam family "Bacterial small subunit ribosomal RNA", at positions 976 to 1381 of the family's 1533-position model. The record is from RNAcentral.